This 505-nucleotide ribosomal RNA is filed under the name uncultured bacterium. Its description in RNAcentral is "partial 16S ribosomal RNA". It matches the Rfam family "Bacterial small subunit ribosomal RNA", at positions 28 to 507 of the family's 1533-position model. The record is from RNAcentral.
GACGAACGCUGGCGGCGUGCCUAAUACAUGCAAGUAGAACGCACAGUUUAUACCGUAGCUUGCUACACCAUAGACUGUGAGUUGCGAACGGGUGAGUAACGCGUAGGUAACCUGCCUGGUAGCGGGGGAUAACUAUUGGAAACGAUAGCUAAUACCGCAUAAUAUUAAUUAUUGCAUGAUAAUUAAUUGAAAGGUGCAAUUGCACCACUACCAGAUGGACCUGCGUUGUAUUAGCUAGUAGGUGAGGUAACGGCUCACCUAGGCGACGAUACAUAGCCGACCUGGGAGGGUGGUCGGCCACACGGGGACGGAAACAGGGCCCAGACUACUACGGGAGGCAGCAGUAGGGAAUCUUCGGCAAUGGACGAAAGUCUGACCGAGCAACGCCGCGUGAGUGAAGAAGGUUUUCGGAUCGUAAAGCUCGGUUGUAAGAGAAGAACGGGUGUGAGAGUGGAAAGUUCACACUGUGACGGUAUCUGACCAGAAAGGGACGGCUAACUACGUG